This 21-nucleotide non-coding RNA is filed under the name Caenorhabditis elegans. Lineage: Eukaryota; Metazoa; Nematoda; Chromadorea; Rhabditida; Rhabditidae. The record is from RNAcentral.
UCAAUGCUCGAAAUUUCUCAA